This 532-nucleotide ribosomal RNA is filed under the name uncultured bacterium. RNAcentral describes it as "bacterial SSU rRNA". It matches the Rfam family "Bacterial small subunit ribosomal RNA", at positions 356 to 881 of the family's 1533-position model. The record is from RNAcentral.
CGAGAAUCUUCGGCAAUGGGCGCAAGCCUGACCGAGCGAUGCCGCGUGCGGGAUGAAGGCCUUCGGGUUGUAAACCGCUGUCGAGGGGGAGCAACUUCCAUAGAGUUAUCUUUAUGGAUUGAGUGAUCCCUGGAGGAAGGACGGGCUAAGUUCGUGCCAGCAGCCGCGGUAAGACGAACCGUCCAAACGUUAUUCGGUAUCACUGGGCUUAAAGAGUUCGUAGGCGGCUAAAACAGGUGAGGUGUGAAAGCCCUCGGCUCAACCGAGGAACUGCGCUUCAAACCGUUUAGCUAGAGGAAGACAGAGGUGAGCGGAACUGAUGGUGGAGCGGUGAAAUGCGUUGAUAUCAUCAGGAACACCGGUGGCGAAAGCGGCUCACUGGGUCUUUUCUGACGCUGAGGAACGAAAGCUAGGGGAGCGAACGGGAUUAGAUACCCCGGUAGUCCUAGCCGUAAACGAUGAGCACUAGACUGUGGGGACCCUCACAUCCUCUCGGUCGUAGCGAAAGUGUUAAGUGCUCCGCCUGGGGAGU